UGUGGAUUGUGAUCCGGCACUUGCGGAUAAAAGUCAGCCGGUGGCUGUUGGUAGUAUACUUGAGGCUGUGCCAUCGAGGGAACAGUACUUCCGGCAGAAAUUGAAGCGUGUGGAUAAGGCGCGAACGAAUAAGAAUGAUGUUGUUCAGCUUGGACCUUCCAGUGUUUGAUAGCUCGGUACCGUGUAACAGAACAAGACAGCGAUGACCGUUUGGGUGAAGAAGAGACUACCGAAGGUAGUAUGAAAGGAAGGAGUAAAGAUUGAAUAUGGGGAAAGAUCGUUGUAGAGACAAUGCAAGACUAGGGCAU
This 308-nucleotide small RNA is filed under the name Cryptococcus neoformans H99. RNAcentral describes it as "Cryptococcus neoformans var. grubii H99 hypothetical RNA". The record is from RNAcentral. Lineage: Eukaryota; Fungi; Basidiomycota; Tremellomycetes; Tremellales; Cryptococcaceae.